Molecule: long non-coding RNA, 529 nt
Filed under: Crocodylus porosus (Australian saltwater crocodile)
Lineage: Eukaryota; Metazoa; Chordata; Crocodylia; Crocodylidae
Description: lncRNA (ENSCPRG00005016834.1)
Source: RNAcentral
CCUUGUGUCAUUUUUCUGCUCAUGUUUCUAUUUUCCCUAGAUUCGUUUGCAUUAUUUCUCAUUAGUGAUUGUGUUAUAUGGUCCCCUAUAAGAAGGAAGAAAUGUAGAGCUGCACCACAUCCAGCUCUCUGGCUUGAUCUUGAGGAAUAUUUGCUACUCAUCUUUCAGCUGCAUCAGCUAACCAUAUUUGACCACAUUGUAUGGCCUUGCUUUUCUUUGCUACAUGGGAUCAUGGUGGAGUCUUAUGGUUCCUGACUGUUCUGACCUGGAAAGUGCUACUUCCUGGCCAUAAAAUGGCACCUUUUGGUAUCAUGCGAUUUGCAGUGCUGGGGAAUCGUCUGGGCUCCAAUUACCCCAGUGAUGCUCUAGAAGGGAAAGCUCUUUGGAAAAGAAAAUACAGUCCUGAGCUCUAUGUCCCAUCCGGCUCAGAAAGUCUCCAGACUCUCUCCUGUGUGGAACCUGUGGAGAGGCCUUUUCUGGAGGGAUGUGGGAGGCAGUAGCAUGAGGUGAGUGAGCCCUCCUCCCCCUU